RNAcentral lists this ribosomal RNA (2904 nucleotides) under Escherichia coli. Its description in RNAcentral is "23S ribosomal RNA". It matches the Rfam family "Bacterial large subunit ribosomal RNA". Lineage: Bacteria; Pseudomonadati; Pseudomonadota; Gammaproteobacteria; Enterobacterales; Enterobacteriaceae. The record is from RNAcentral.
GGUUAAGCGACUAAGCGUACACGGUGGAUGCCCUGGCAGUCAGAGGCGAUGAAGGACGUGCUAAUCUGCGAUAAGCGUCGGUGAGGUGAUAUGAACCGUUAUAACCGGCGAUUUCCGAAUGGGGAAACCCAGUGUGUUUCGACACACUAUCAUUAACUGAAUCCAUAGGUUAAUGAGGCGAACCGGGGGAACUGAAACAUCUAAGUACCCCGAGGAAAAGAAAUCAACCGAGAUUCCCCCAGUAGCGGCGAGCGAACGGGGAGCAGCCCAGAGCCUGAAUCAGUGUGUGUGUUAGUGGAAGCGUCUGGAAAGGCGCGCGAUACAGGGUGACAGCCCCGUACACAAAAAUGCACAUACUGUGAGCUCGAUGAGUAGGGCGGGACACGUGGUAUCCUGUCUGAAUAUGGGGGGACCAUCCUCCAAGGCUAAAUACUCCUGACUGACCGAUAGUGAACCAGUACCGUGAGGGAAAGGCGAAAAGAACCCCGGCGAGGGGAGUGAAAAAGAACCUGAAACCGUGUACGUACAAGCAGUGGGAGCCUCUUAAUGGGGUGACUGCGUACCUUUUGUAUAAUGGGUCAGCGACUUAUAUUCUGUAGCAAGGUUAACCGAAUAGGGGAGCCGAAGGGAAACCGAGUCUUAACUGGGCGUUAAGUUGCAGGGUAUAGACCCGAAACCCGGUGAUCUAGCCAUGGGCAGGUUGAAGGUUGGGUAACACUAACUGGAGGACCGAACCGACUAAUGUUGAAAAAUUAGCGGAUGACUUGUGGCUGGGGGUGAAAGGCCAAUCAAACCGGGAGAUAGCUGGUUCUCCCCGAAAGCUAUUUAGGUAGCGCCUCGUGAAUUCAUCUCCGGGGGUAGAGCACUGUUUCGGCAAGGGGGUCAUCCCGACUUACCAACCCGAUGCAAACUGCGAAUACCGGAGAAUGUUAUCACGGGAGACACACGGCGGGUGCUAACGUCCGUCGUGAAGAGGGAAACAACCCAGACCGCCAGCUAAGGUCCCAAAGUCAUGGUUAAGUGGGAAACGAUGUGGGAAGGCCCAGACAGCCAGGAUGUUGGCUUAGAAGCAGCCAUCAUUUAAAGAAAGCGUAAUAGCUCACUGGUCGAGUCGGCCUGCGCGGAAGAUGUAACGGGGCUAAACCAUGCACCGAAGCUGCGGCAGCGACACUAUGUGUUGUUGGGUAGGGGAGCGUUCUGUAAGCCUGUGAAGGUGUACUGUGAGGUAUGCUGGAGGUAUCAGAAGUGCGAAUGCUGACAUAAGUAACGAUAAAGCGGGUGAAAAGCCCGCUCGCCGGAAGACCAAGGGUUCCUGUCCAACGUUAAUCGGGGCAGGGUGAGUCGACCCCUAAGGCGAGGCCGAAAGGCGUAGUCGAUGGGAAACAGGUUAAUAUUCCUGUACUUGGUGUUACUGCGAAGGGGGGACGGAGAAGGCUAUGUUGGCCGGGCGACGGUUGUCCCGGUUUAAGCGUGUAGGCUGGUUUUCCAGGCAAAUCCGGAAAACUAAGGCUGAGGCGUGAUGACGAGGCACUACGGUGCUGAAGCAACAAAUGCCCUGCUUCCAGGAAAAGCCUCUAAGCAUCAGGUAACAUCAAAUCGUACCCCAAACCGACACAGGUGGUCAGGUAGAGAAUACCAAGGCGCUUGAGAGAACUCGGGUGAAGGAACUAGGCAAAAUGGUGCCGUAACUUCGGGAGAAGGCACGCUGAUAUGUAGGUGAAGUCCCUCGCGGAUGGAGCUGAAAUCAGUCGAAGAUACCAGCUGGCUGCAACUGUUUAUUAAAAACACAGCACUGUGCAAACACGAAAGUGGACGUAUACGGUGUGACGCCUGCCCGGUGCCGGAAGGUUAAUUGAUGGGGUUAGCGGUAACGCGAAGCUCUUGAUCGAAGCCCCGGUAAACGGCGGCCGUAACUAUAACGGUCCUAAGGUAGCGAAAUUCCUUGUCGGGUAAGUUCCGACCUGCACGAAUGGCGUAAUGAUGGCCAGGCUGUCUCCACCCGAGACUCAGUGAAAUUGAACUCGCUGUGAAGAUGCAGUGUACCCGCGGCAAGACGGAAAGACCCCGUGAACCUUUACUAUAGCUUGACACUGAACAUUGAGCCUUGAUGUGUAGGAUAGGUGGGAGGCUUUGAAGUGUGGACGCCAGUCUGCAUGGAGCCGGCCUUGAAAUACCACCCUUUAAUGUUUGAUGUUCUAACGUUGGCCCCUGAUCGGGGUUGCGGACAGUGUCUGGUGGGUAGUUUGACUGGGGCGGUCUCCUCCUAAAGAGUAACGGAGGAGCACGAAGGUUGGCUAAUCCUGGUCGGACAUCAGGAGGUUAGUGCAAUGGCAUAAGCCAGCUUGACUGCGAGCGUGACGGCGCGAGCAGGUGCGAAAGCAGGUCAUAGUGAUCCGGUGGUUCUGAAUGGAAGGGCCAUCGCUCAACGGAUAAAAGGUACUCCGGGGAUAACAGGCUGAUACCGCCCAAGAGUUCAUAUCGACGGCGGUGUUUGGCACCUCGAUGUCGGCUCAUCACAUCCUGGGGCUGAAGUAGGUCCCAAGGGUAUGGCUGUUCGCCAUUUAAAGUGGUACGCGAGCUGGGUUUAGAACGUCGUGAGACAGUUCGGUCCCUAUCUGCCGUGGGCGCUGGAGAACUGAGGGGGGCUGCUCCUAGUACGAGAGGACCGGAGUGGACGCAUCACUGGUGUUCGGGUUGUCAUGCCAAUGGCACUGCCCGGUAGCUAAAUGCGGAAGAGAUAAGUGCUGAAAGCAUCUAAGCACGAAACUUGCCCCGAGAUGAGUUCUCCCUGACUCCUUGAGAGUCCUGAAGGAACGUUGAAGACGACGACGUUGAUAGGCCGGGUGUGUAAGCGCAGCGAUGCGUUGAGCUAACCGGUACUAAUGAACCGUGAGGCUUAACCUU